RNAcentral lists this microRNA precursor (58 nucleotides) under Dasypus novemcinctus (nine-banded armadillo). RNAcentral describes it as "microRNA dno-mir-345 precursor". Its record names the gene dno-mir-345. The record is from miRBase by way of RNAcentral. Lineage: Eukaryota; Metazoa; Chordata; Mammalia; Cingulata; Dasypodidae.
GCUGACUCCUAGUCCAGAGCCCGUGGUGGCCGUGGGGCCCUGAACUUGGGGUCUGGAG